Molecule: long non-coding RNA, 805 nt
Filed under: Prunus dulcis (almond)
Lineage: Eukaryota; Viridiplantae; Streptophyta; Magnoliopsida; Rosales; Rosaceae
Description: sRNA ncRNA
Source: RNAcentral
UCUCUCUCCCUCUCUUUUGAUUGUAGUUGGGUUAUUGUUUGAGUAGAAAUUAAUAUGUUUCAAAAAAGAAAUUGGUGUAAUUGCUCAUUUUAAUUGGUAUUGGAUUUUUCAUAAUGGUUGUUAAAAGAGAGUUUGUUGAAUAAUACUUGUGGGCAAGCAGUUUAUAUUAUACUGAAGUGUGUGUUGUAUAAGAUACCCAGUUGCAGAAAAUGCCCAAAAGGAAGACUGACAAAGCUUAUGUGUUGGACAAGAGCAAACAUCUUGCAAGGCUUAACAUUGCUGAGGCUGGAAAAGUUGUAUUGAAAAGGUUCUUCUUUCUUCUUCUAAUGAAAGUAUGAUAUCCUUAGUGUUAUACCGUUUGUAAGAAGAAGAAAACAAUUGGGAUUUUACUGAUGUGUGUUGUAUACUGGACUGGAUGACACUCUCUGUUUAACAGUGGCUGAUCACCUGCCUUCGGUUUCUUGUACCUCAGUUUGUCUGACAGUUUCUGUGAAACUAUUUUGUUUCUACACCUUUUCAUACUUAUGUUCUUCCUCGAGAUUGUCCUGUCAGUGCAUUAUGUUCUUCAAUCAAGAUAGAGUUUAAUGGUUUUUUCAAAAUUUAUGUGAUAGUAUCAUCAUAGUUCAUAAUUUGAAAUCUUGUUCGUUAUUAAUCCAGGGGUGAGGGGAAAAUGGAGAAGCAAUUUCGUAUGAACUGUGUGGGUUGUGGACUCUUUGUUUUCUAUCGCUCAGAAGAAGAUUUGGAAGGUGCUUCUUUCAUUUAUGUUGUUGAUGGUGCUCUAAGCACGGUUGCUGCUGAAACCAAC